UAUUAAAUGUAAAUACAAUGCCCAUUCUC
This 29-nucleotide non-coding RNA is filed under the name Mus musculus (house mouse). Lineage: Eukaryota; Metazoa; Chordata; Mammalia; Rodentia; Muridae. The record is from RNAcentral.